Long non-coding RNA from Monopterus albus (swamp eel), 120 nucleotides. RefSeq lists it as uncharacterized. The record is from RefSeq and is a predicted model, not a curated record. NCBI's taxonomy places the organism in Eukaryota, Metazoa, Chordata, Actinopteri, Synbranchiformes, Synbranchidae. The transcript is spliced from 3 exons.
GUCUUUGGAACCAGCUCAAGACUCCUAUGGGUCCUCCAAACGCAAGAGGCCAAAGAUGGCAUCUGAAUCAUCUCAAGUUUCAGACGAAGAAUCAGACAUGCUGACUCAACAGGCCUCAGC